GUUAUGCACUUCGGAUCAUUAAAUCGAAACGAAAGGGGUGCAGGCACACGAUGACAGUGUUUCCCCGUCGUUAUUAGACCCGUUUUGUUCGCCUGUUCAUUUCGUCUUCCCCGAAGGCCAUCAAUCGCCUCUCGUACAAAUCCGCGCCCAUGAACACCUCCGGCCGCCUGACCUUAACGAUUACGUCGCCGACGAAUUGUGCCAUUAUGGUAAUUGUGUUUUUCCCUCGGCAACGUUCACUUCGUUACGGUGUCUCUGACAACGCGUCAUGGUACACACUCGCCUUUAUUCGGGCGCCGAGUUUGUGUCUUGAUGUUUGCCCGGUCAAUCGCAUAUAACGAGGCGUGUGAAGAUUUGGUUCCAAAAUCGACGGACCAAGUGGAAAAAGCAUGACACGGUGACAACAUCAGAACAGUCAGACCCGUCAACAAUUACUGCCACCUCAGUGGGCUCCAAAAAUUCGCCCAAGUCGACUACAGGGGCCAAGUUCCUUAGUGAAGGUGAUGAUCACUCAUCGUUGGAAGAUUCGGAGAGCUGUUAUAGUGGCGUGGACGUUGCUGAGUCUAAAGUAGUGAUUGCUAGGACGCCGGAAUCACUACCUCCCACAUCGCCGCCCGACAAUGACACCACUGCGCGGGCUCCCAGUUAAGCGAUUGAUUUCUACAUCACUUAACUUUUACGACCUAAUUAGUCGAUGAAAAGAAAAUGCAUAAUUAGAUGGAAAUGAAGUUACAUUAAUUUUGUUAGUUGUUUUUUUUUUUUUUUUUUUUUAUAUCAUU
Molecule: long non-coding RNA, 779 nt
Organism: Daktulosphaira vitifoliae (grape phylloxera)
Lineage: Eukaryota; Metazoa; Arthropoda; Insecta; Hemiptera; Phylloxeridae
Exons: 2
Source: RefSeq, a predicted model, not a curated record